Molecule: ribosomal RNA, 497 nt
Filed under: uncultured bacterium
Lineage: Bacteria
Description: partial 16S ribosomal RNA
Rfam family: Bacterial small subunit ribosomal RNA
Source: RNAcentral
GAUGAACGCUGGCGGCGUGCCUAAUACAUGCAAGUCGAGCGAACGGACGAGAAGCUUGCUUCUCUGAUGUUAGCGGCGGACGGGUGAGUAACACGUGGAUAACCUACCUAUAAGACUGGGAUAACUUCGGGAAACCGGAGCUAAUACCGGAUAAUAUUUUGAACCGCAUGGUUCAAAAGUGAAAGACGGUCUUGCUGUCCCUUAUAGAUGGAUCCGCGUUGCAUUAGCUAGUUGGUAAGGUAACGGCUUACCAAGGCAACGAUGCAUAGCCGACCGGAGAGGGGGUCGGGCCACAUGGGAACGGGACCACGGUCCAGACCCCUAGGGGAGGAAGAAGAAGGGAAUCUUCGGCAAUGGGCGAAAGCCGGACGGAGAAACGCCGCGUGAGUGAUGAAGUUCUUCGGAUCUUAAAACUCUUUUAUUAGGGAAGAACAUAUGUGUAAGUAACUGUGCACAUCGUGACGGUACCUAAUCAGAAAGCCACGGCUAACUACGUG